RNAcentral lists this transfer RNA (72 nucleotides) under Monodelphis domestica (gray short-tailed opossum). It matches the Rfam family "tRNA". From Rfam's summary of the family: Transfer RNA (tRNA) molecules are approximately 80 nucleotides in length. Their secondary structure includes four short double-helical elements and three loops (D, anti-codon, and T loops). Further hydrogen bonds mediate the characteristic L-shaped molecular structure. tRNAs have two regions of fundamental functional importance: the anti-codon, which is responsible for specific mRNA codon recognition, and the 3' end, to which the tRNAs corresponding amino acid is attached (by aminoacyl-tRNA synthetases). tRNAs cope with the degeneracy of the genetic code in two manners: having more than one tRNA (with a specific anti-codon) for a particular amino acid; and 'wobble' base-pairing, i.e. permitting non-standard base-pairing at the 3rd anti-codon position. Lineage: Eukaryota; Metazoa; Chordata; Mammalia; Didelphimorphia; Didelphidae. The record is from Rfam by way of RNAcentral.
AUCUGGGUGGUACAAUAGAUAGAGUGUUGGACUUGGAGUCAAGAAACCUGAGUUCUAAUCUUAGCUCAGACA